RNAcentral lists this ribosomal RNA (451 nucleotides) under uncultured bacterium. RNAcentral's name for it is "partial 16S ribosomal RNA". It matches the Rfam family "Bacterial small subunit ribosomal RNA", at positions 28 to 507 of the family's 1533-position model. The record is from RNAcentral.
GAUGAAUGCUGGCGGCGUGCCUAACACAUGCAAGUCGAGCGGCAGCGAGGGGUGCUUGCACCCUGUCGGCGAGCGGCGAACGGCUGAGUAACGCGUAGGAAUUUUCCCCAAAGUGAGGAAUAACUGCCCGAAAGGGUAGCUAAUGCCGCAUAUGGUCUUCGGAUUAAAGGAUUUAUCCGCUUUGGGAGCAGCCUGCGUUGGAUUAGGUUGUUGGUAGGGUAAUGGCCUACCAAGCCGACGAUCCAUAGCUGGUCUGAGAGGAUGAUCAGCCAGACUGGAACUGAGACACGGUCCAGACUCCUACGGGAGGCAGCAGUGAGGAAUCUUCCACAAUGGGCGAAAGCCUGAUGGAGCAACGCCGCGUGAAGGAUGAAGGCCUUCGGGUUGUAAACUUCUUUUAUGAGUGAAGAAUAUGACGGUAACUCAUGAAUAAGCACCGGCUAACUACGUG